This is a non-coding RNA of Leptonychotes weddellii (Weddell seal), 1499 nucleotides long. Lineage: Eukaryota; Metazoa; Chordata; Mammalia; Carnivora; Phocidae. The record is from RefSeq and is a predicted model, not a curated record.
UCUUUUUCCCCAAGUGUGUCGACCCUGCUCUAGAUUAUAUCUCAGAUUCCUCGGGUAAGUAUACCUGAGCUGGGAUUUCUCCAAAGCUCCCGAGUUGUGUCCAACCUGAUCUGGUAUAUUUCCCUCAUCCCCUAGGGUGCGUAUACUCUGACGGUGGGUGUCUCCCAGUUCUCCAGGGGGGCCUACACUGACCUUGAGUGUCUCCCCAACUCCCUAGGUCUGACUGCCCUGAUGUUGCAAGUCUGCCAAUUUUCCCAUGGGUCUACACUGAUCAAGGAAUUCCCCUGAAUCUCCAGGUAAUCUACCUUGACCAAAGUUGUGUCCACAAUGACCUGAGAUGUCUCCCUAUUUCUCCAGAGAUAAAGGGACCAAGAGAGAAUACCAUGAACAGCUACACACCAACAGAUACGCUACAUGAAGUGGACAAAUUUCUAGAACACGCAAACCACAACUGACUCCAGAGGAAAUAGAAAAUCUGAUGAGACCAACAAGGGAAGAGAUUGACUCAGUGAUGAAUACCUCUGAGAAAAGAAAAGCUCAGGACCAGAUGGCUUCACCAGUGAAUACACCACAUUUUUAAAAAGUGGUUUCAGUGCCCACCGACCUGCUUCACAGAUGACCCCAGCAGCUUUCACCAGCUUUGACACACGGGUAUUCGCAUUUCUGACAUGACCUGCCUGAGUCUUUUACCAUUUCCUCCCCCUCCCUCCAAUCAAAGCCCAGGAAGAGCAUGAGAAGCCAUCCCAGGCCUCUGUGGCUGAGCAGCGCAAGACACCAGCCUAACCCCCGUGGCUGGUGCGCACUGCUCUGUGGGCACCCUGCCAGCCUGAGGCCCUUCACUGGCCUCCACCGCAGUGUGCAUACCCAGGGGGGGACUGCGCAGCCCUGGGAGAGCAUACUGACAGCCAGGGGCCCCUGCAGCUCCCAGUGUACCCAGAGUAACUCCUGGCACUUGCUGCAUACCUUGGCCCCUAACCACUAGUAUGAGCUUGCACCUGGUCCCUGCCCACCCCCCACUUCUAGCUGUGCCCUACAGCCAAGCUUAUACCACUGGCCCCAGCCAUUACUGCUGCUUGCCCUGGUCCCUAGCUGUUGGACCUGGAGGCACUGCUGAGGGCUUACAGCCCUUACAGCAUCUGGGGACACAUCCCCCAACAACACUCACCAAGAAUCAUGUGGUCUUGAUGCUGUGGACCCCACUGACAUAAGCAAGUGAGUCACCAUGCCAUUCUGGAAUCAGUGCUACCACACUUCAUAUUCGGAAGCUCACAGUACAUUCCAGCGUGCUCCUGUCUGCAAGUGAAGGCCCUUCCUUACUGAAGUCCAUCUGUAAAGUCUGAAACAGUGAUUCAAACAUACAGACACCACAUAAGGCUAGAGGGAUGAUGAAGAAUCAGGGAAACAUGACUCCACCAAAGGAAUACAUUAAACUCGCCCCAAAGAAAUAGAGACCCACAGAUUGCCUGACAAAGAUGCUCAGAGAGCAAGGCACCUGGGUG